GUAGUGCACGAUCUACAGAGCAGUCAACAUGGCAGAUAUGUCAGAUGUCCAAGAAAGCUCAAUAAACUAUAGAUGGAUGUGGAAUUAUUUGAGAAGAAAUACGGAGUAUGAAAUAUGUAAUAUUUGUGAUAAGAAAUAUUGUUCGACUCACAUUGUAUAUAUGCAAGAACAUAUACAAAAAGGACAUCCUGAUAUUUAUAAUAAAUCAGAAGAAACACCUUUUUUACAAUAGGGAACAACAAAAUAAAAUGUAAUUAUUGUCUGCAAAUUUAUAAGCCAUCUUUUCGUCUAAAUUUUAAUAUGUAACGUCACAUUAAGGGUAAGCAUAAACUUAACGAAAAUAUAGCUAAUAAACUCAAAAUCUGGGUAAAUCAGCAACUUGAUAUAAUUGAGAAAUGUGAGACUUGCGAUCAAUUUGAAAAAUCUGAUAUUUUUAAUAAAAUGAUACAUUUAGUCAAAGCUCAUCGUGUCAUCGUGCUUCCGAAAUUUAUACCAACAGGUUUAAAGGAUUGUACAUGGAUGUGGUAUUAUUUGAGAAGUGAUACGGAGAAUGAAAUAUGUAAUAUUUGCAAUAAUGAAUAUAUCAUUGCACACCGAUUCAGUAUGAUUGUGCAUGUGUCAACUUCACAUCCUCGUUCAUAUAAUCCCUUAGAAAUACAUAAUAACUUUACUUCUACUGAAACCAACGGAGUAAAAUGUAAUUAUUGUUCUCAAAUUUAUAUGCCAUUCUUGAAUCCAAGUAUGAAGGUGCAAAAUCACCUGACAAACAUACAUAAACUUAACGAAAAUAUAGCUAAUGAACUCAAAAGCUGGGUAAACGACCAACUUCCUUU
This is a long non-coding RNA of Nylanderia fulva, 833 nucleotides long. RefSeq lists it as uncharacterized. The record is from RefSeq and is a predicted model, not a curated record. NCBI's taxonomy places the organism in Eukaryota, Metazoa, Arthropoda, Insecta, Hymenoptera, Formicidae.